CUGUGGGUCCAGCUGCCCCGGGAGACUGGCAGCAGCGGGCUCAAGCCAAGGUCAGCCAUGAGGAGUUGCAGACUGUCCGGGCCUGCCUGUUGCGGUCUCCCCCCACCCCCGCCCCCGCAACAUCCCGAGCUGCCAGUGGCGGGAAGCCUAGGCUUACCUUUGCAGGAAAGCGGGGUAGCAGGAGAGAGCGGGGCGCUUCCGGACAGAUCCGCACAAGCAGGAGGUGCACCAUGGUGACUGCAGAGAGCCCUCCUUCGUGUAGCUGGCCCUACCUUUAUAAGGCAAAGCACAGACCAACCCCUCCAUCGGAUCCCUCUGCCUUAAAGGAGUUGCGAUGGAGGAACUGCCACUGCUCACUCCCUUGAUGUCCUCGCGUCACGGCCGCACGUAGAGAAGGAGGCGGCUGGAUUGGCAGAAUCCCUGGCGGUUUCAGGCGGAAGGAGAAACGGCGGCAGGCACUGCCAUCUCUUCCAGCAGUUUAGCCUUAGGACCUGGUGCCAAGGUUUGUGCUUUUUACACCUUGACGUGAAAUGUGAACAAGAGUUCCAGUCUUUGUUCCAGAGACAGAAACCCAGAGAAGAUCAACAAGGAGAAUGGCAGUGUCUCCUGUAAAUGAGCAGCAGGUCAGUGUUGUGUCCAUAUUUCCUUGAAAAUUAUUUUGAGAUUGAAAUCAUGAAGGCUUUAGUACUCUGCCUUGGACAAUGUCAUCAGAUGUGUUUAUUUCCUAUGACUUUUUUUUUUUUCUUCUCUGAUUAUCAAAAUUGUCUUUAAAUCAUGUCACCUACAUGGCACAGCCUUGUCCUACUUUAUAUUCUCUCCAUUAUUAUUGUGAGGAGAAAUAGUUUUCAUGGACUUCAGACCUGCAAUUGUGAAAGAGAUUCCACUGUGAAUUAAUGAAUUCCCCCCAGGUGCCUGCCUUGAGGAGAUUUCUACCAGGGUACAGAACAGAAGCUAAGGAUUCUAAUCUGAGAGACAUAAAGUAAAUGUUCUCUUGACAUUCAGGGAUCUGGAUGUAGACUUAUCCCAGGAGGAGUGGGAAUGUCUGGAUUCUGCUUGGAGGGCUUUGUACAUGGAUGUGAUGUUGGAGAAUUACAGAAAUCUAGUCUUUGUGGGUAAGAAUGCUCUUGUAGAAUUCUUAACUCUUUCUUUGUAUUUACCUACUAUUUACAUGUGAUUUUAACUAAAGUCCCUGGACAUCCUAGUGACUACCAGAAAUGCAGGAAAUUCUGGUAAUAAACAUAACGUUUACAGUGUUUCUUUGACAUUCUUCUGUGUUCUCUGAAAGAGCAACUAAUGCUAUAUCAUGUGUGGUCU
This is a long non-coding RNA of Peromyscus leucopus (white-footed mouse), 1314 nucleotides long. RefSeq lists it as uncharacterized. The record is from RefSeq and is a predicted model, not a curated record. The transcript is spliced from 3 exons. NCBI's taxonomy places the organism in Eukaryota, Metazoa, Chordata, Mammalia, Rodentia, Cricetidae.